This 793-nucleotide unclassified non-coding RNA is filed under the name Cotesia glomerata. RNAcentral describes it as "extensin-like, transcript variant X2". The record is from RNAcentral. Lineage: Eukaryota; Metazoa; Arthropoda; Insecta; Hymenoptera; Braconidae.
UUCUCACCACUUGCAGUAAUGUUUUCGAUAUAAUUAAGAAAAAGCGUCCAAUCUAAAAACUAUAUAGUUGUAUAUGUAACAUGUAGGUAAUAAUUAUAAAUCAUCUCUUUAAAUCAGGGCAUUAACAUUAUUUUUUUUCCACAGAUAAAACAGAAGAAAAAAAGUGCGAGGAAGAAAAAGGACCUCAAAUUUCAGAAAGAAACGUCUAUACACGUAUGAAAAAGAUAGAAAUGGAAUUGUAUAGAUUGAGGAAGAGUAAGGGUGAAUUCAAGAAGGAAAUGAAAGAAUUGAACGAUGUGUACUCGCACUAAAGAAGAGCUAUCGGUGAAUAUCUAUUACCGGCUAAAAUGGAUGAUGUAUGUAGAAGAUAAAAUGAUGGUAGUGGACGUUAAGCUGGCGAUGUACCACGAAAAUUCAAAGCGAAUACGUCGUCAUUUGGAGGUACUUCUACAAAUACAUUUGCUACUGCAGAUGGAUGUUAGUACUGUCAGCGAAGUUGUUAAAAGGCAUACAUUUUCAGUAAAUUCGACGUUCCAGGUUUGCAGCAUGUUCCGCCUAGUUUUGCUACUCAAACGCCAACUAUUUUCAAUAAUGGAUAGCAUAGAGUAAUUUUUAUUUUUAAUUUUGACUGUUAUUAAAACUUUUAAUGCCCUGUACCUCAUUAAAUAUUUACUUUCAUUAUUCACUCAUCAAAAUUAACAACAGAUCUUUUUUGUAGAUUAUCAACUUCUCUUCAACUUUUAUUUGAAACAUUUUUCUCUAAACUCAAAAUUACAGAAGUUACAAGCAAUUU